UGGGGAAUAUUGGACAAUGGGCGCAAGCCUGAUCCAGCCAUGCCGCGUGAGUGACGAAGGCCUUAGGGUUGUAAAGCUCUUUUGGCGGGGACGAUAAUGACGGUACCCGCAGAAUAAGCCCCGGCUAACUUCGUGCCAGCAGCCGCGGUAAUACGAAGGGGGCUAGCGUUGUUCGGAAUCACUGGGCGUAAAGCGCACGUAGGCGGAUUUGUUAGUCAGGGGUGAAAUCCCGGGGCUCAACCUCGGAACUGCCUUUGAUACUGCAAGUCUCGAGUCCGGAAGAGGUGAGUGGAAUUCCUAGUGUAGAGGUGAAAUUCGUAGAUAUUAGGAAGAACACCAGUGGCGAAGGCGGCUCACUGGUCCGGUACUGACGCUGAGGUGCGAAAGCGUGGGGAGCAAACA
This 402-nucleotide ribosomal RNA is filed under the name uncultured prokaryote. Its description in RNAcentral is "bacterial SSU rRNA". It matches the Rfam family "Bacterial small subunit ribosomal RNA", at positions 355 to 774 of the family's 1533-position model. The record is from RNAcentral.